GACGAACGCUGGCGGCGUGCUUAACACAUGCAAGUCGAACGGAAAGGCCCUGCUUUUGUGGGGUGCUCGAGUGGCGAACGGGUGAGUAACACGUGAGUAACCUGCCCUUGACUUUGGGAUAACUUCAGGAAACUGGGGCUAAUACCGGAUAGGAGCUCCUGCUGCAUGGUGGGGGUUGGAAAGUUUCGGCGGUUGGGGAUGGACUCGCGGCUUAUCAGCUUGUUGGUGGGGUAGUGGCUUACCAAGGCUUUGACGGGUAGCCGGCCUGAGAGGGUGACCGGCCUCAAUGGGACUGAGGUACGGACCAGACUGGAAUGGUAGGCAACAGGCGGGAAUAUUGUACAGUGGGCGGGAGCCUGAUGAAGCGACGCCGCGUGCGGGAUGACGGUCUUGGGGUUGGAAACCGCAUUCGCCUGUGACGAAGCGUGAGUGACGGUAAUGGGUGAAGAAGCACCGGCUAACUACGUG
RNAcentral lists this ribosomal RNA (468 nucleotides) under uncultured bacterium. Its description in RNAcentral is "partial 16S ribosomal RNA". It matches the Rfam family "Bacterial small subunit ribosomal RNA", at positions 28 to 507 of the family's 1533-position model. The record is from RNAcentral.